Molecule: ribosomal RNA, 2920 nt
Filed under: Bacillus pacificus
Lineage: Bacteria; Bacillati; Bacillota; Bacilli; Caryophanales; Bacillaceae
Description: 23S ribosomal RNA
Rfam family: Bacterial large subunit ribosomal RNA
Source: RNAcentral
GGUUAAGUUAGAAAGGGCGCACGGUGGAUGCCUUGACACUAGGAGUCGAUGAAGGACGGGACUAACGCCGAUAUGCUUCGGGGAGCUGUAAGUAAGCUUUGAUCCGAAGAUUUCCGAAUGGGGAAACCCACCAUACGUAAUGGUAUGGUAUCCUUAUCUGAAUACAUAGGGUAAGGAAGACAGACCCAGGGAACUGAAACAUCUAAGUACCUGGAGGAAGAGAAAGCAAAUGCGAUUUCCUGAGUAGCGGCGAGCGAAACGGAACAUAGCCCAAACCAAGAGGCUUGCCUCUUGGGGUUGUAGGACAUUCUAUACGGAGUUACAAAGGAACGAGGUAGACGAAGCGACCUGGAAAGGUCCGUCGUAGAGGGUAACAACCCCGUAGUCGAAACUUCGUUCUCUCUUGAAUGUAUCCUGAGUACGGCGGAACACGUGAAAUUCCGUCGGAAUCUGGGAGGACCAUCUCCCAAGGCUAAAUACUCCCUAGUGAUCGAUAGUGAACCAGUACCGUGAGGGAAAGGUGAAAAGCACCCCGGAAGGGGAGUGAAAGAGAUCCUGAAACCGUGUGCCUACAAAUAGUCAGAGCCCGUUAACGGGUGAUGGCGUGCCUUUUGUAGAAUGAACCGGCGAGUUACGAUCCCGUGCGAGGUUAAGCUGAAGAGGCGGAGCCGCAGCGAAAGCGAGUCUGAAUAGGGCGUUUAGUACGUGGUCGUAGACCCGAAACCAGGUGAUCUACCCAUGUCCAGGGUGAAGUUCAGGUAACACUGAAUGGAGGCCCGAACCCACGCACGUUGAAAAGUGCGGGGAUGAGGUGUGGGUAGCGGAGAAAUUCCAAUCGAACCUGGAGAUAGCUGGUUCUCCCCGAAAUAGCUUUAGGGCUAGCCUUAAGUGUAAGAGUCUUGGAGGUAGAGCACUGAUUGGACUAGGGGUCCUCAUCGGAUUACCGAAUUCAGUCAAACUCCGAAUGCCAAUGACUUAUCCUUAGGAGUCAGACUGCGAGUGAUAAGAUCCGUAGUCAAAGGGAAACAGCCCAGACCGCCAGCUAAGGUCCCAAAGUGUGUAUUAAGUGGAAAAGGAUGUGGAGUUGCUUAGACAACUAGGAUGUUGGCUUAGAAGCAGCCACCAUUUAAAGAGUGCGUAAUAGCUCACUAGUCGAGUGACUCUGCGCCGAAAAUGUACCGGGGCUAAAUACACCACCGAAGCUGCGGAUUGAUACCAAUGGUAUCAGUGGUAGGGGAGCGUUCUAAGGACAGUGAAGUCAGACCGAAAGGACUGGUGGAGUGCUUAGAAGUGAGAAUGCCGGUAUGAGUAGCGAAAGACGGGUGAGAAUCCCGUCCACCGAAUGCCUAAGGUUUCCUGAGGAAGGCUCGUCCGCUCAGGGUUAGUCAGGACCUAAGCCAAGGCCGACAGGCGUAGGCGAUGGACAACAGGUUGAUAUUCCUGUACCACCUCUUUAUCGUUUGAGCAAUGGAGGGACGCAGAAGGAUAGAAGAAGCGUGCGAUUGGUUGUGCACGUCCAAGCAGUUAGGCUGAUAAGUAGGCAAAUCCGCUUAUCGUAAAGGCUGAGCUGUGAUGGGGAAGCUCCUUAUGGAGCGAAGUCUUUGAUUCCCCGCUGCCAAGAAAAGCUUCUAGCGAGAUAAAAGGUGCCUGUACCGCAAACCGACACAGGUAGGCGAGGAGAGAAUCCUAAGGUGUGCGAGAGAACUCUGGUUAAGGAACUCGGCAAAAUGACCCCGUAACUUCGGGAGAAGGGGUGCUUUCUUAACGGAAAGCCGCAGUGAAUAGGCCCAAGCGACUGUUUAGCAAAAACACAGCUCUCUGCGAAGCCGUAAGGCGAAGUAUAGGGGUGACACCUGCCCGGUGCUGGAAGGUUAAGGAGAGGGGUUAGCGUAAGCGAAGCUCUGAACUGAAGCCCCAGUAAACGGCGGCCGUAACUAUAACGGUCCUAAGGUAGCGAAAUUCCUUGUCGGGUAAGUUCCGACCCGCACGAAAGGUGUAACGAUUUGGGCACUGUCUCAACCAGAGACUCGGUGAAAUUAUAGUACCUGUGAAGAUGCAGGUUACCCGCGACAGGACGGAAAGACCCCGUGGAGCUUUACUGUAGCCUGAUAUUGAAUUUUGGUACAGUUUGUACAGGAUAGGCGGGAGCCUUUGAAACCGGAGCGCUAGCUUCGGUGGAGGCGCUGGUGGGAUACCGCCCUGACUGUAUUGAAAUUCUAACCUACGGGUCUUAUCGACCCGGGAGACAGUGUCAGGUGGGCAGUUUGACUGGGGCGGUCGCCUCCUAAAGUGUAACGGAGGCGCCCAAAGGUUCCCUCAGAAUGGUUGGAAAUCAUUCGUAGAGUGCAAAGGCAUAAGGGAGCUUGACUGCGAGACCUACAAGUCGAGCAGGGACGAAAGUCGGGCUUAGUGAUCCGGUGGUUCCGCAUGGAAGGGCCAUCGCUCAACGGAUAAAAGCUACCCCGGGGAUAACAGGCUUAUCUCCCCCAAGAGUCCACAUCGACGGGGAGGUUUGGCACCUCGAUGUCGGCUCAUCGCAUCCUGGGGCUGUAGUCGGUCCCAAGGGUUGGGCUGUUCGCCCAUUAAAGCGGUACGCGAGCUGGGUUCAGAACGUCGUGAGACAGUUCGGUCCCUAUCCGUCGUGGGCGUAGGAAAUUUGAGAGGAGCUGUCCUUAGUACGAGAGGACCGGGAUGGACGCACCGCUGGUGUACCAGUUGUUCUGCCAAGGGCAUAGCUGGGUAGCUAUGUGCGGAAGGGAUAAGUGCUGAAAGCAUCUAAGCAUGAAGCCCCCCUCAAGAUGAGAUUUCCCAUAGCGUAAGCUAGUAAGAUCCCUGAAAGAUGAUUAGGUUGAUAGGUUCGAGGUGGAAGCAUGGUGACAUGUGGAGCUGACGAAUACUAAUAGAUCGAGGACUUAACCAU